This 484-nucleotide ribosomal RNA is filed under the name uncultured bacterium. RNAcentral's name for it is "partial 16S ribosomal RNA". It matches the Rfam family "Bacterial small subunit ribosomal RNA", at positions 30 to 507 of the family's 1533-position model. The record is from RNAcentral.
AUUGAACGCUGGCGGCAGGCCUAACACAUGCAAGUCGAGCGGAUGAAGGGAGCUUGCUCCUGGAUUCAGCGGCGGACGGGUGAGUAAUGCCUAGGAAUCUGCCUGGUAGUGGGGGAUAACGUCCGGAGACGGGCGCUACUACCGCCUACGUCCUGCGGGAGCAAGUGGGGGAUCUUCGGACCUCACGCUAUCAGAUGAGCCUAGGUCGGAUUAGCUAGUUGGUGGGGUAAAGGCCUACCAAGCCGACGAUCCGUAACUGGUCUGAGAGGAUGAUCAGUCACAUGGGAACUUAGACACGGUCAAGAGUCCUACGGGAGGGAGCAGUGGGGAAUAUUAGACAAUGGGCGAAAGCCUGAUCCAGCCAUGGCGCGUGUGUGAAGAAGGUCUUCGGAGUGUAAAGAACGUUAAGGGGGGAUGAAGCGCAGUAAGUUAAUACCAUGCUGUUGUGACGGUAACAACAGAAUAAGCACCGGCUAACUUCGUG